This 496-nucleotide ribosomal RNA is filed under the name uncultured bacterium. RNAcentral's name for it is "partial 16S ribosomal RNA". It matches the Rfam family "Bacterial small subunit ribosomal RNA", at positions 29 to 507 of the family's 1533-position model. The record is from RNAcentral.
AUGAACGCUGGCGGCGUGCCUAAUCCAUGCAAGUCGAGCGAACAGACGAGGAGCUUGCUCCUCUGACGUUAGCGGCGGACGGGUGAGUAACACGUGGAUAACCUACCUAUAAGACUGGGAUAACUUCGGGAAACCGGAGCUAAUACCGGAUAAUAUAUUGAACCGCAUGGUUCAAUAGUGAAAGACGGUUUUGCUGUCACUUAUAGAUGGAUCCUCGCCGCAUUAGCUAGUUGGUAAGGUAACGGCUUACCAAGGCAACGAUGCGUAGCCGACCUGAGAGGGUGAUCGGCCACACUGGAACUGAGACACGGUCCAGAUUCCUACGGGAGGCAGCAGUAGGGAAUCUUCCGCAAUGGGCGAAAGCCUGACGGAGCAACGCCGCGUGAGUGAUGAAGGUCUUCGGAUCGUAAAACUCUGUUAUUAGGGAAGAACAAAUGUGUAAGUAACUAUGCACGUCUUGACGGUACCUAAUCAGAAAGCCACGGCUAACUACGUG